AUCGCUUCUCGCCUUUUGGCUUUGAUCGAUGUGUAAUUACCGUUCUCAUCAGCUUAAUAUCUGAUGCGCUUCCAUCGGAAGCUUCGAUAUUAUUCUGAUUUUUGAAACGAGGUGUAUUGGGUGUAGCUUGCUCCACCCUCGCCGCGGGUUGACCUGGUAUUGCACUGUUUCUAGGAGCAGCCCAUUCCCU
This is a small nuclear RNA of Centruroides sculpturatus (bark scorpion), 190 nucleotides long. RefSeq annotates it as U2 spliceosomal RNA. The record is from RefSeq and is a predicted model, not a curated record. Lineage: Eukaryota; Metazoa; Arthropoda; Arachnida; Scorpiones; Buthidae. The transcript has a single exon.